AGAGUUUGAUUCUGGCUCAGGAUGAACGCUGGCGAGAUGCCUUACACAUGCAAGUCGUCGGGAAUUUUUAAUUCAAGUGGCGGACGGGUGAGUAACACGUAAGAAUUUGCCUUUAGGGGGGGACAACAACUGGAAACGGUUGCUAAUACCCCAUAUGCUUUCGAGUGAAAUGGAUUUUCCGCCUAAAGAAAAGCUUGCGGCUGAUUAGCUUGUUGGUGAGGUAAUGGCUCGCCAAGCGACGAUCAGUAUCUGGUUUGAGAGGAUGAUCAGACACACUGGAACUGAGACACGGUCAGACUCCUACGGGAGGCAGCAGUGGGGAAUUUUCCGCAAUGGGCGAAAGCCUGACGGAGAAUACCGCGUGAGGGAAGAAGGCCUGUGGGUUGUAAACCUCUUUUCUUAGGGAAGAAUAAUGACGGUACCUAAGGAAUAAGCAUCGGCUAACUCCGUGCCAGCAGCCGCGGUAA
This 467-nucleotide ribosomal RNA is filed under the name uncultured dinoflagellate. RNAcentral's name for it is "bacterial SSU rRNA". It matches the Rfam family "Bacterial small subunit ribosomal RNA", at positions 8 to 523 of the family's 1533-position model. Lineage: Eukaryota; Dinophyceae. The record is from RNAcentral.